CCCCGCCCCUCCCCCGGGAGAAAGACUACAUCUCCCGACAUGCUUUGCGGGUCUCUCCCUGGGGUUCCGGAUGCUGCCACAAUAAUUAGAGUAAUAGAGUACAAGCAUUCUUGCUUAUAUCAAAUAAACCUAUUUGUAGUUCAGUGAGUUCAGGGUUUCUCCCCCCCCCCCCCCCCCCGCCGCCGGGCAGGGCAGGAGCGGCGGCGAGAGAAGAAGCGAGCGGGCGGGCGCCGGGGGUCUGGCUCGCCUUCCUUUCCCUUUUCCCACCCAGCAAAAGAAGAGCAGGGUGGAGAAAGCGGAGCGAGAAUCGGAGCUUGCCAGCAAUUUCGCCCAGCCUUGCAAUUUUUUUUCUCUCCCCCCCUUUUCCUCCUGGCUGGUUCUUUUGUGCGGUGCGUUUGAAAGGGAAGGGAGGAAGGAAGAGAAAGAGAGCAAGACCGGGGAGGAGGGGAGGCCAGCGGUCGGAGUCAUCAUCAUCAUCAUCAUCAUGUCCAAGCCGAGUUGCGGGUGGAUAAUGUGAUCGGCCGAGAGAGGCGAUGAAUAUGCUGUCCCUGAAGGUUGGCAGUGGCGCCGAAGGGCCGGGCACCCUCCCCGGCGGCCCGGAGUCGUCUCCUCGCGGGGAAGAGAAAAGUCUCCCGCGGAAGGCGGCGGCGGCGGCGGAGGGGAGCGGAGCGCAGCAGCAGCAGCAGCAGCAGCAGCAACAGCCACCGCCGGCUGAUGGGAGCUCUGCUGCCUGCCAGCCUGUUGGACUGGAAAAUGGAGCCAACCCGCCAGCCGAAUGGUUCCCACGCAGCCAGGGCCCAGGGCUGCGGCAGCCCAACAGCGAGGUGGAUGGCGGAGAGAGAAGCUUCAGGGUGAACCUCCACUGCAAACACGGGCGGCCCAGGUAAGGGCGGGAGUGGGGAAUAGGCCCCCUCGAUAAGCCAGUCUUUCCCCUUCUGGCUCGGAAAGAGUUCCAGGCUUUUCAGGCUUUUCCUGCUGAUUUGGGGAGAUGGUGAGGCUCCAUCGCUGUGUGGAAGAAGGUGAGGUCACUGAAGAAGGCCCGAAGGGAGGACGUGGCUCUAACCUUCGUCCUCCAAGGUAGCGGCAAUGAGAGGAAGGACCUCUUCCUUCACACACCCUGUCCUGCCCCCUGCAGCCCCAAGAGAGCUGUGGAAUAUACUGUCCUGUCACUAGUCCUGAAUUAAAAUCCAACCGUCAGGCUAGUUUGUUGGUUUGUGUCUGUGUAUGUCUGUGUCCGUGUCCCUGUCCCCUUUAACUCUGGUCGUAAAAUAUGGUGGGGCAAUCUUGUCUGCACUCCGCUUCAGUCUAGGCAUGCAUGUCAUGAAAGGAGGCGUUGGAAUGGAUUCUGCACUUUUAGACUACAGGG
This 1366-nucleotide long non-coding RNA is filed under the name Pogona vitticeps (central bearded dragon). RNAcentral describes it as "lncRNA (ENSPVIG00000023300.1)". The record is from RNAcentral. Lineage: Eukaryota; Metazoa; Chordata; Lepidosauria; Squamata; Agamidae.